UCCCGGGUCGUCUAUUCGGUAAGACACCGCACUCUGGAUGCGGGGAGCUGGGUUCGAAUCCUGGCCUGGGAGCGA
Molecule: transfer RNA, 75 nt
Filed under: Micromonospora zamorensis
Lineage: Bacteria; Bacillati; Actinomycetota; Actinomycetes; Micromonosporales; Micromonosporaceae
Description: tRNA_Gln_CTG
Rfam family: tRNA
About the family: Transfer RNA (tRNA) molecules are approximately 80 nucleotides in length. Their secondary structure includes four short double-helical elements and three loops (D, anti-codon, and T loops).
Source: RNAcentral